RNAcentral lists this ribosomal RNA (156 nucleotides) under uncultured Ferrimonas sp. RNAcentral's name for it is "partial 16S ribosomal RNA". It matches the Rfam family "Bacterial small subunit ribosomal RNA", at positions 372 to 524 of the family's 1533-position model. Lineage: Bacteria; Pseudomonadati; Pseudomonadota; Gammaproteobacteria; Alteromonadales; Ferrimonadaceae. The record is from RNAcentral.
UGGGCGCAGCCUGAUGCAGCCAUGCCGCGUGUGUGAGAAGCCUUCGGGUUGUAAGCACUUUCAGCGAGGAGGAUAGGUUGACGGUUAAUACCCGUCACCUGUGACGUUACUCGCACAAGAAGCACCGGCUAAAUCCGUGCCAGCAGCCGCGGUAAU